RNAcentral lists this non-coding RNA (23 nucleotides) under Rattus norvegicus (Norway rat). The record is from RNAcentral. Lineage: Eukaryota; Metazoa; Chordata; Mammalia; Rodentia; Muridae.
UAGUCAAACAAAGAUAUUGGGUA